UUGUUCGCAAUGGGCGCAAGCCUGACGACGCAACGCCGCGUGGAGGAUGAAGGUCUUCGGAUUGUAAACUCCUGUUGCCCGGGACGAAAUGCUUCGACCUAAUACGUCGAAGUUUGACGGUACCGGGUGAGGAAGCCCCGGCUAACUCUGUGCCAGCAGCCGCGGUAAUACAGAGGGGGCAAGCGUUGUUCGGAAUUACUGGGCGUAAAGGGCGCGUAGGCGGCCAUUUAAGUCAGACGUGAAAUCCCCGGGCUCAACCCGGGAACUGCGUCUGAUACUGGAUGGCUUGAAUCCGGGAGAGGGAUGUGGAAUUCCAGGUGUAGCGGUGAAAUGCGUAGAUAUCUGGAGGAACAUCGGUGGCGAAGGCGGCAUCCUGGACCGGCAUUGACGCUGAGGCGCGAAAGCCAGGGGAGCAAACGG
RNAcentral lists this ribosomal RNA (420 nucleotides) under uncultured bacterium. Its description in RNAcentral is "bacterial SSU rRNA". It matches the Rfam family "Bacterial small subunit ribosomal RNA", at positions 362 to 775 of the family's 1533-position model. The record is from RNAcentral.